UACGGGGGAUGCAAGCGUUAUCCGGAUUUAUUGGGUUUAAAGGGUGCGUAGGCUGUGAGGUAAGUCAGCGGUGAAAUGCCCCCGCUCAACGGGGUGAAGUGCCAUUGAUACUGCCUUGCUGGAAUGCGGAUGCCGUGGGAGGAAUGUGUGGUGUAGCGGUGAAAUGCAUAGAUAUCACACAGAACACCGAUUGCGAAGGCAUCUUACGAAUCCGCUAUUGACGCUGAUGCACGAAAGCGUGGGUAUCAAACAGG
This 254-nucleotide ribosomal RNA is filed under the name uncultured bacterium. RNAcentral's name for it is "partial 16S ribosomal RNA". It matches the Rfam family "Bacterial small subunit ribosomal RNA", at positions 524 to 776 of the family's 1533-position model. The record is from RNAcentral.